GAUGAAGAACGUAGCGAAAUGCGAUAAGUAAUGUGAAUUGCAGAAUUCAGUGAAUCAUCGAAUCUUUGAACGCACAUUGCGCCCGCCAGUAUUCUGGCGGGCAUGCCUGUCUGAGCGUCAUUUCAACCCUCAUGCCCCUAGGGCGUGGUGUUGGGGAUCGGCCAAAGCCCGCGAGGGACGGCCGGCCCCUAAAUCUAGUGGCGGACCCGUCGUGGCCUCCUCUGCGAAGUAGUGAUAUUCCGCAUCGGAGAGCGAUGAGCCCCUGCCGUUAAACCCCCAACUUUCCAAGGUUGACCUCAGAUCAGGUAGGAAUACCCGCUGAACUUAAGCAUAUAAAUAAGCGGAGGA
This 348-nucleotide unclassified non-coding RNA is filed under the name soil metagenome. RNAcentral describes it as "partial contains 5.8S ribosomal RNA, internal transcribed spacer 2, and large subunit ribosomal RNA". The stretch from base 1 to 120 matches the Rfam family "5.8S ribosomal RNA", at positions 35 to 154 of the family's 154-position model. The record is from RNAcentral.